This 888-nucleotide long non-coding RNA is filed under the name Salmo salar (Atlantic salmon). RNAcentral's name for it is "lncRNA (ENSSSAG00000093926.1, ENSSSAG00000114231.1)". Lineage: Eukaryota; Metazoa; Chordata; Actinopteri; Salmoniformes; Salmonidae. The record is from RNAcentral.
GUGAUGAAGAGGAGGAGGAGGAGGUGAUAGAAGACAGUGAUGAUGGUGAUCAUGGUGAUGAAGAGGAGGAGGAGGUGAUAGAAGACAGUGAUGAUGGUGAUCAUGGUGAUGAGGAGGAGGUGAUAGAAGACAGUGAUGAUGGUGGUCAUGGUGAUGAGGAGGAGGUGAUAGAAGACAGUGAUGAUGGUGAUGAUGGUGAUGAUGAGGAGGAGGAGGUGAUAGAAGACAGUGAUGAUGGUGAUCAUGGUGAUGAGGAGGAGGUGAUAGAAGACAGCGAUGAUGGUGAUGAUGGUGAUGAGGAGGAGGAGGAGGUGAUAGAAGACAGUGAUGAUGGUGAUGAUGGUGAUGAUGAGGAGGAGGAGGUGAUAGAAGACAGUGAUGAUGGUGAUCAUGGUGAUGAGGAGGUGAUAGAAGACAGUGAUGAUGGUGAUGAUGGUGAUGAGGAGGAGGACGAGGUGAUAGAAGACAGUGAUGAUGGUGAUGAUGAGGAGGAGGAGGUGAUAGAAGACAGCGAUGAUGGUGAUGAUGGUGAUGAGGAGGAGGACGAGGUGAUAGAAGACAGUGAUGAUGGUGAUGAUGGUGAUGAUGAGGAGGAGGAGGUGAUAGAAGACAGUGAUGAUGGUGAUGAUGAGGAGGAGGAGGUGAUAGAAGACAGUGAUGAUGGUGAUGAUGGUGAUGAUGAGGAGGAGGAGGUGAUAGAAGACAGUGAUGAUGGUGGUCAUUGUGUGUUGGAUGUUGGAAGUCAGCUCCUAUUUCCAUCAACAGUCUACAGUAAUGGUUUCUCUUCUUUUUUUCAUUGGAAGAAUAGGUCUGGAGGUUACUGGACUUAACUGAGGAUCUCCAGCACAUUUAGAUAGCUUUGAUUCUGCAUGACUCAAAGAAAGGCAC